Long non-coding RNA from Neofelis nebulosa (Clouded leopard), 930 nucleotides. RefSeq lists it as uncharacterized. The record is from RefSeq and is a predicted model, not a curated record. The transcript is spliced from 2 exons. Lineage: Eukaryota; Metazoa; Chordata; Mammalia; Carnivora; Felidae.
GUCCCCCCCAAAAUGUGAUCUCACUUUCUUACACGGGAUUAGAAACGGAGUCCGGCACUCGGGCAUCUACAAUAAUCUACAAUAAAGACUACAGUUCUUACGUUCCCUGGCAGAGAGUAGGUCACGUGACCCAGUUCCAGCCAAUAGCACACGAGCAGGAGCACCGUGUCAACUUCUAGGACAAGCCAGCCCUGGAGGACAAGCGAUAUGGCGGAGAGCCAUCUUGGACCACACAGGUAAGGUCGACUACAGAGCACCAACAUGGAAGGAAUCUAGGCCUCUGACACCAUGGAACUACCACAGCAACCCAUGGCAGGACUGUUGUGAGAGACGAACUUCCGUCUUUUGUAAGCCACUGCUAUUUGGGGAACCAGUAACAGCAAUCAGAAUUAUGCCUCACAAGUACCAGAUAGUGGUGACCGUUUAUAAAAGGUUUUCUUCUGCAUUACGGAGUAGCACAACAAGGACACCAGCUGCAGAUACUAAGCUUGGAGAGGACAAAUGACUCAUCCAAGAUCAGUUGGUACGGGGCCAAACUGGAACGAAAACCUUACCUUCUUCUAAAUGCGAGUCCUGGUGACUUUCCUGCUACCCAACUGUAAAGCACCAAAAGUAACAGGUAUUUAGCCUGCUGAGCCACCCCAACCUACCCCGAUUUCAAGAUGCAUUCUUGGUGCUGAUCCUUGUUUACAGGCACAAUAAGUCCCACCAGUGGCGCAACUGUUUCUCUGCCAUGUUGAAUUCCUAAGACUAAUUCUAACAGCUAUACCUUUCUGUGUAUGAACCGUGGAUAAAUGUAGAAUGUUGAGUAGAAUGACGUGAAUACAACUGCCCUCUUUUUUCAAGAGUAGUUCAGUUUUCUAAAGGCCUAUGGUGAGCAUCCAGAUCACCGCUAACCUAGAUUGUAAACAAUUAAACCUUGACCUUGAA